UGCUGAAUGGUAGGGCCAUCGCUCAACGGAUAAAAGGUACUCCGGGGAUAACUCGCUGAUACCGCCCAUGAGUUCAUAUCGACGGCGGUGUUUGGCACCUCGAUGUCGGCGCAUCACUUCCUGGGGCUGAAGUAGGUCCCAAGGGUAUGGCUGGUAGCCAUUUAAAGUGGUACGCGUGCUGGGUUUAGACCGUCGUGUGACAGUUCGGUCCCUAUCUGCCGUGGGCGCUGGAGAACUGAGGGGGUC
Molecule: ribosomal RNA, 246 nt
Filed under: Salmonella enterica subsp. enterica serovar Typhimurium
Lineage: Bacteria; Pseudomonadati; Pseudomonadota; Gammaproteobacteria; Enterobacterales; Enterobacteriaceae
Description: partial 23S ribosomal RNA
Rfam family: Bacterial large subunit ribosomal RNA
Source: RNAcentral